Molecule: ribosomal RNA, 282 nt
Filed under: uncultured bacterium
Lineage: Bacteria
Description: partial 16S ribosomal RNA
Rfam family: Bacterial small subunit ribosomal RNA
Source: RNAcentral
GUUUUCCUACGGGAGGCAGCAGUGGGGAAUAUUGCACAAUGGGGGAAACCCUGAUGCAGCAACGCCGCGUGAAGGAAGACGGUUUUCGGAUUGUAAACUUCUGUUCUUAGUGAAGAAGAAUGACGGUAGCUAAGGAGCAAGCCACGGCUAACUACGUGCCAGCAGCCGCGGUAAUACGUAGGUGGCAAGCGUUAUCCGGAUUUACUGGGUGUAAAGGGGGCGCAGACGGCGAUGCAAGCCAGGAGUGAAAGCCCGGGGCCCACCCCCGGGCCUGCUCUUGGA